Molecule: long non-coding RNA, 334 nt
Organism: Notothenia coriiceps (black rockcod)
Lineage: Eukaryota; Metazoa; Chordata; Actinopteri; Perciformes; Nototheniidae
Exons: 4
Source: RefSeq, a predicted model, not a curated record
CAAACAAUAAUGUAAAUAUUUGAUGUGUUUCUAGGUGGACUAUGACAACCAUCCUCUGUAUAAACAUGGGAAAACAGGCAGGAAGCAAUCUCCGGUGAGGAUCUUCACCAACAUUUCACCAAAAGACAUCGGUCUGCCCAAGGACGAAGGCUACAGAUUUUGCUCUGUGUGUCAGAGAUUCGUCUUGUCCCUCAACAAGCACUGUGCUAAAUGCAACGUCUGCCCGUCCAAGGACGGCCGAGAAUGGAAGCAUUGCUCAAGGUGUGAGAAGUGUGUGAAACCAUCCUGGAGACACUGUGCGCCCUGUGGCCGCUGCGCCCUGCCGGACCACCCG